This 874-nucleotide ribosomal RNA is filed under the name Photobacterium sp. BZ9.1B. RNAcentral's name for it is "bacterial SSU rRNA". It matches the Rfam family "Bacterial small subunit ribosomal RNA", at positions 132 to 987 of the family's 1533-position model. The record is from RNAcentral. Lineage: Bacteria; Pseudomonadati; Pseudomonadota; Gammaproteobacteria; Vibrionales; Vibrionaceae.
UGANGUAGGGGGAUAACCAUUGGAAACGAUGGCUAAUACCGCAUAAUCUCUUCGGAGCAAAGAGGGGGACCUUCGGGCCUCUCGCGUCAGGAUUAGCCCAGGUGAGAUUAGCUAGUUGGUGAGGUAAGAGCUCACCAAGGCGACGAUCUCUAGCUGGUCUGAGAGGAUGAUCAGCCACACUGGAACUGAGACACGGUCCAGACUCCUACGGGAGGCAGCAGUGGGGAAUAUUGCACAAUGGGGGAAACCCUGAUGCAGCCAUGCCGCGUGUGUGAAGAAGGCCUUCGGGUUGUAAAGCACUUUCAGUUGUGAGGAAGGCGUUAUCGUUAAUAGCGGUAGUGUUUGACGUUAGCAACAGAAGAAGCACCGGCUAACUCCGUGCCAGCAGCCGCGGUAAUACGGAGGGUGCGAGCGUUAAUCGGAAUUACUGGGCGUAAAGCGCAUGCAGGCGGCUUGUUAAGCCAGAUGUGAAAGCCCGGGGCUCAACCUCGGAAUAGCAUUUGGAACUGGCAGGCUAGAGUCUUGUAGAGGGGGGGUAGAAUUUCAGGGUGUAGCGGUGAAAAUGCGGUAGAGAUCUGAAAGGAAUACCGGGUGGCGAAAGGCGGGCCCCCUGGGACAAAGACUGACGCUCAGAUGCGAAAAGCGUGGGGGAGCAAACAGGGAUUAGAUACCCUGGUAGUCCACGCCGUAAACGAUGUCUACUUNGAGGUUGGAACCUUGAGUUCUGGCUUUCGGAGCUAACGCAUUAAGUAGACCGCCUGGGGGAGUACGGUCGCAAGAUUAAAACUCAAAUGAAUUGACGGGGGCCCGCACAAGCGGUGGAGCAUGUGGUUUAAUUCGAUGCAACGCGAAGAACCUUACCUACUCUUGACAU